GACGAACGCUGGCGGCGUGCUUAACACAUGCAAGUCGAACGGAAAGGCCCCUUUGGGGGUACUCGAGUGGCGAACGGGUGAGUAACACGUGAGUAACCUGCCCUUGACUUCGGGAUAACUUCAGGAAACUGGGGCUAAUACCGGAUAGGAAUCCUUUCUUCAUGGUGGGGGUUGGAAAGCUUCGGCGGUUUUGGAUGGACUGGCGGCUUAUCAGCUUGUUGGUGGGGUAGUGGCUUACCAAGGCUUUGACGGGUAGCCGGCCUGAGAGGGCGACCGGCCACAUUGGGACUGAGAUAAGGCCCAGACUCCUACGGGAGGCAGCAGGGGGGAAUAUUGCACAAUGGGCGGAAGCCUGAUGCAGCAACGCCGCGUGCGGGAUGACGGCCUUCGGGUUGUAAACCGCUUUCAGCAGGGGCGAAGCUUGUGGUGACGGUACCUGCAGAAGAAGCACCGGCUAACUACGUG
RNAcentral lists this ribosomal RNA (465 nucleotides) under uncultured bacterium. RNAcentral's name for it is "partial 16S ribosomal RNA". It matches the Rfam family "Bacterial small subunit ribosomal RNA", at positions 28 to 507 of the family's 1533-position model. The record is from RNAcentral.